This 308-nucleotide ribosomal RNA is filed under the name uncultured Pseudomonas sp. RNAcentral's name for it is "bacterial SSU rRNA". It matches the Rfam family "Bacterial small subunit ribosomal RNA", at positions 1076 to 1382 of the family's 1533-position model. Lineage: Bacteria; Pseudomonadati; Pseudomonadota; Gammaproteobacteria; Pseudomonadales; Pseudomonadaceae. The record is from RNAcentral.
CGGGUUAAGUCCCGUAACGAGCGCAACCCUUGUCCUUAGUUACCAGCACGUUAUGGUGGGCACUCUAAGGAGACUGCCGGUGGACAAACCGGAGGAAGGUGGGGAUGACGUCAAGUCAUCAUGGCCCUUACGGCCUGGGCUACACACGUGCUACAAUGGUCGGUACAAAGGGUUGCCAAGCCGCGAGGUGGAGCUAAUCCCAUAAAACCGAUCGUAGUCCGGAUCGCAGUCUGCAACUCGACUGCGUGAAGUCGGAAUCGCUAGUAAUCGUGAAUCAGAAUGUCACGGUGAAUACGUUCCCGGGCCUU